RNAcentral lists this ribosomal RNA (376 nucleotides) under actinobacterium CT12. RNAcentral describes it as "bacterial SSU rRNA". It matches the Rfam family "Bacterial small subunit ribosomal RNA", at positions 55 to 430 of the family's 1533-position model. Lineage: Bacteria; Bacillati; Actinomycetota; Actinomycetes. The record is from RNAcentral.
AUGCAAGUCGAACGAUGAAGCCUAGCUUGCUGGGUGGAUUAGUGGCGAACGGGUGAGUAACACGUGAGCAACCUGCCCCUGACUCUGGGAUAAGCGCUGGAAACGGCGUCUAAUACUGGAUAUGUCCCAUCACCGCAUGGUGUGUGGGUGGAAAGAUUUUUCGGUUGGGGAUGGGCUCGCGGCCUAUCAGCUUGUUGGUGAGGUAAUGGCUCACCAAGGCGUCGACGGGUAGCCGGCCUGAGAGGGUGACCGGCCACACUGGGACUGAGACACGGCCCAGACUCCUACGGGAGGCAGCAGUGGGGAAUAUUGCACAAUGGGCGGAAGCCUGAUGCAGCAACGCCGCGUGAGGGAUGACGGCCUUCSGGUUGUAAAC